This 331-nucleotide ribosomal RNA is filed under the name uncultured bacterium. RNAcentral's name for it is "bacterial SSU rRNA". It matches the Rfam family "Bacterial small subunit ribosomal RNA", at positions 568 to 898 of the family's 1533-position model. The record is from RNAcentral.
CGCGUAGGUGGUUGCGUAAGUCGGAUGUGAAAUCCUGAGGCUUAACCUCAGAACUGCAUCUGAUACUGCGUGACUCGAGUGCAGCAGAGGGAAACGGAAUUCCUGGUGUAGAGGUGAAAUUCGUAGAUAUCAGGAGGAACACCGGUGGCGAAGGCGGUUUCCUGGGCUGACACUGACACUGAGGCGCGAAAGCGUGGGUAGCAAACAGGAUUAGAUACCCUGGUAGUCCACGCUGUAAACGGUGAGUACUGGGUGUGGGAGGUGUAAUGCCUUCUGUGCCGAAGCUAACGCGUUAAGUACUCCGCCUGGGGAGUACGGCCGCAAGGUUGAA